GCAUAUCUUUGGAUGGUCGCCGCGACGGCGAGGAUGGACUGCAACUCCCAGCCCCUAAUCGAUAUGGCAGGCAUAUUCUGCUCGUGCGAUGCGCCGCAACCGAUCACCAUGGCAGCAGUUAGGGAUGGUGCGUCUGAUUCAACAACAAUGGAUGAACUCCCAGCAUCGUCCAUAAAUCAACAUUGAGAUUGCCUCCCAAUCUAGCCACCAAGAAACUCACCUCACUUGCUCAGUUAUUUUUGUGGAAAAUGCUACCAACGCAGAACAGCAACGGAACAACACGACAGAUGGAGGUUCAGGUGCAGCUGAACUGCUGAAGGCAACAAUAGGUUGCAAACUCUAAUGAUUGAGGAAGAAUUUGCUACGCCAAAAAAGAAAGCCAGCAUUCUUCUAUUUUGCUGGUCUUUUAAACCAAGAUGCGACGAGAAAUUGAAGCCUAAAGUGGGGAGGACAUUUGAAGGGCUUGAGACCGUGGAGGAGUUAUACAAGUCAUAUAGACAUCAUGUGUGUUUUGGAGCUCGUGUUGGACAGCAGAAAAAGUUGAACAAUGUGGU
Long non-coding RNA from Triticum dicoccoides, 554 nucleotides. RefSeq lists it as uncharacterized. The transcript is spliced from 3 exons. The record is from RefSeq and is a predicted model, not a curated record. Lineage: Eukaryota; Viridiplantae; Streptophyta; Magnoliopsida; Poales; Poaceae.